Molecule: unclassified non-coding RNA, 378 nt
Filed under: plant metagenome
Description: partial contains 5.8S ribosomal RNA, internal transcribed spacer 2, and large subunit ribosomal RNA
Rfam family: 5.8S ribosomal RNA (bases 1-105)
Source: RNAcentral
GAAAGGGGAGAAGUAAUGUGAAUUGCAGAAUUCAGUGAAUCAUCGAAUCUUUGAACGCACCUUGCGCUCCUUGGUAUUCCUUGGAGCAUGCCUGUUUGAGUAUCAUGAAAUCUUCAAAGUAAAUCUUUUGUUAACUCAAUUGGUUUCUACUUUGGUAUUGGAGGUCUUUGCAGCUUCACACCUGCUCCUCUUUGUUCAUUAGCUGGAUCUCAGUGUUAUGCUUGGUUCCACUCGGCGUGAUAAGUUAUCCAUCGCUGAGGACACUGUAAAAGGUGGCCAAGGUAAAUGCAGAUGAACCGCUUCUAAUAGUCCAUUGACUUGGACAAUACUUUUAUGAUCUGAUCUCAAAUCAGGUAGGACUACCCGCUGAACUUAAGC